AAUUCCAGUACCACACGGCUGUGAAAGACUGAUCUAUCGUUAUCUGAAGCAUUCAGGGGUUGCAGAUAUUGCUGCUAAAGUUGGCAAUUAGUUUUUUUACAUGGAUGAUAGGUGUUGAUAAAAUAAAAUAAAAACGCUAUGCAAUAACUCAGGUGGCCUUUGUUUUAUGUUGUAUUUUGUUUUAAAUUCUUAAGCUAUUUAGUAUGAUAUAUACACAAAACCAGAAGAAAUCAGGGUGCAGCAAAUACAUUUUCACAGCACUGUUAUUGUGGCCUUUUUAUUUCAUAUGAUACAUUGCUUAAACUUGCUGCAACCACUUCCGACACUUCAAGUGAACCACAAACAUAUCCUGUGCGAAUAUAAUAACAACAGCAUCAUGGUUGAAUUUUCACAUUACUAUAGUGGACUUGUACAACAGCUGACUUUUCAUAGAUCUAAAUCAAACAGAUUGCAGAAUCUAAAAGCCCUUACAAAAAUGUUUAAAAAGUUAAAGUUUGGGAAGAAGAAAAAAACAGCCAGGAAUACACAUGAGCAGUAUCGUCUGAUCAAAGACAUACCAACACAGCACACAGAGACCACGGAUGCAGGAGAACAGGAAAGCACAGUCGAUGAGAUGCCAUCCUGUUCAGGUGUUGAAGUGAGUGGCGAGGCAGGGCUUAAUAUUCUCAGAACAAUUCUUAGUGAACAAUCAAACCCAGAGGACGCGGACACUGCAGCUGCAAUGCCAAAAAUCAGCUUCUCUCAAGAAUGGCAAAAUAAGUACCUUCAGGAAAUAGAUCAGUUUGUGGAGAACCAUUUUCCCAGGCUGCCAGCUGAGAGAACUCAAAAAUCUCAGUUGGAGCAGAUACCGGACUUUCUAAAGAGCGCACAGACUAUGAUAUGCAAUGGUGUUCGUCGAUUAACACCUGCACUGAAAGAUGCUGGGCUGCUAGAUCAUCUGAUGGACAGUUACAGCCGUCACCUCUUUACCAACCUGGACCUGCUGCUAAACAGAGAUCUGUCUGUGAAAGAGAUCUUCUGCCUUCUACUGUGGGGAAAAGAUUUUUUCUUCAGUUCAGAAUCAAAACUGAGAGUGUACGAUCCUCUGCUGUUGACAGGAGGGUUUGAGUGUGCAAAGCAGAAACUACUGCAAGUACUUAAGGGUGACAUCUCCAAGUGUCUACAGAAAAUCCUGUGCGAAGAUGAGGAACAUGGACAUAAUAAGGAAUCAAUGGAUGAAGAAACUUUCUUCCAAGUGCACAUAGAUGUCAUUCAGGUCCUGAAUUGUACUAUUGUUGAAGCUGAAAAGGUUGGUCUGACUUUGAUGCAUGCCGUACAAAUACUCUGUAGUGGAGAGCUGCAUGAUUUUGUUCAGAAGUAUGUGGAUGCUAAGAAUGAACAUCUUAAAAAACUAAAGUUUACAGAGAAAAACUCUGUGAAUCUCUUUCGGCUAAUCAACACCUGCAUGCAACUCAGAUGCUAUGCUGCACAAAUCACUCCAGAUGUUAGCAACAGUGAUGUCUACUCAAGCACUAUAUGCAUGCUACAGAAACUGGAAGAUAAAGCUUCAUCCAUUGUACAAAAUAUCAUGAACUGCUUAGCACAGGCUAAAUUAGAAAGUUUUUUCAAGAAAAGGAAUGGGCAUAUUGAUAUCCUAAUGGAGGCAAUCCAAAAGCAGUGUGCAUCUCUGCCUGAGACUGCCUCAGAGAUCAAAACGGUCAUUGUGAAAAUAGCUUACGACAGUGUUUCCAAAGUGUACCUGGAUUGCCUGAUGAAGACAAACUUCAGAAACCUAGAGCAGCGUUGGGGAAAUGCUGAGGAAAAUAUAAAAGAGGAUGUUCAAUAUUUUCAAGAAACAUUCUCUGAACUGAAUGUCAGUGCUAACCAGCAGAACCAGCUCCUUCAGAGAAUGAGUGAAGUUUUGCUUUGCAGUGAUGUAGAAGCACUGAAGAUUACCUGUUGCAAUUUGUUGAGAGAUUUCCCUCAGGAGAGUAAGCAGUAUGUACCUGGUCUGCUGCGCUGGAAGGGGGUUUUAUCAGAGCAACAGGUGAGGGAAGUGCUGGAUGUGACCCAGGAUAUGAUCCAGGAAUUUGGCCUGAAUCCAAUUCCUACACGUGUCACCCGUUGUCCUCUGAAGGGACUUUUUUGCUGUAAAUAGUGUAUAUAUAUAUAUAUAUAUAUAUAUAUAUAUAUAUAUAUAUACAGUCAUGGCCAAAAAUAUCGGCAAAAUAUCCAGCAAAAACAACACAUAAAUGGGUCACUGAGCACAAAACCAAGCUUCUGCUAUGGCCAUUCCAGUCCUCUGACCUGAACCCUAUAGAAAAUCAGUGGAGUGAACUGAAGAGGAGAAGCACCAACAUAUGGAGCUGGGAAUCUAAAGGGUCUGGAGUUAAUUCUGGAUGAAGGAAUGGUCUCUGAUCUCUUGUCAGGUGUUCUCUAACCUCAUCAGGCAUUAUAGAAGAACAUUUAGACCUGUUAAACUGGCAAAUUGAGGUUUCAAAAAGUAUUGAAUAAAAGAGUGCCGUUAAUUGUGGCCAAUGUGUAUUUGAGAAAAACCUUUAUUUCAUAAUGAUAUUUCCCCCCAUUUUGAACUCUUAUUAUCCAAUGAAAGGAUACAUUUUUGUGAAUUUUUUUAAAUAAAAGAUCAAAAGGAUUAACAAUGCAGAUGCAUUUUUACAGCCUUCUUUGAUCAUAUUUACCAAGGCUGCUGAUAUUUUUGUGACUGUAUAUAUAUAUAUAUAUAUAUAUAUAUAUAUACACACACACACACACACACACACACAUACAUGUAUAUACACAUACAUAUACAUAUGUUAACCUAUAUGUAUUACAAAAUAAGUGAAAAUAUACAAAGAAUUUGUGUUAUUUAAUCCUCUUUUAUGUAGUUCAGUUGGUAAAAGGGAUUUUUUUAACAAGGUCCUAAAUCUUUUCUUUCACAACUGUCUACACUGAAUGCAGGCAUCAAAGCUGCAGAGCUACUCCAGUAACUUUAUUUUCUCAGUCUGUCUGAAAUAAAAAAUACUUUUUAAAAUGUGUCCAACCAUUAAUUCAUGUAGCCCACUUAUUAUGUUAAUGCUGUUACUUUCUCCUCCUGAUAUUAAGAUGUGUUUUUGGUGAUCUGAUCGAUUGAAAAUAAAGGUGGAAUUGGAAAAAAAUUAACCAUGUAAAGCCUAAAGUUUGAAAUAAUAGUCUGAACAAUUCACAUUUUUUGAAGUGGAACUGUUUAUUGAAACUUUAUAUACCUACUUGCAUAAAAUGCAUAUAAACCAGCUGUCACUCGAUAUCUCCCAAUCAUAUUCUUAAUAAGAUGGUAUUUAAAUACUUAGUUUAUGAUCAAAGCUCUGUAGUUUUUCUUGUGGGGCAAAACAUAAUGCAAUACAAUGAUGAUUGAGAGAUGAACUAAUGAAUAUUACUCAAAUGCCUGAUGGGUUUUUUGAUGGGAUUUUUCUAAAAAAAAAAAAAAAAAGAUAUAUGGAUAAUCAAGUAAAGCUAAGUUGUUGUUGGGUAUGAGUCCCCGGCCAAGAUGGCCGCCACGCCAGAGUCCCCGGCCAAGAUGGCCGCCACGCCAGAGUCGCCGGCCAAGAUGGCCGCCACGCCAGAGUCCCCGGCCAAGAUGGCCGCCACGUCAAGUCUUGGCAGACACUGAGACUGUUCCCGUGGCCUCAGUACUUCUAAUAAGGGCAGUCGCCAUUUUGAGUGUGUGGGCAACUCACUGCAUUCCAGAGACUUUUCCUGUCCACGAGCUCUCUGCCUGUCCUGUCACGGCCAAGGAGGACAUCCACGAGCUCUCUGCCUGUCCUGUCACAACCAGGGAGGACAUCCACGAGCUCUCUGCCUGUCCUGUCACGGCCAAGGAGGACAUCCACGAGCUCUCUGCCUGUCCUGUCUCGGCCACGGAGGCUGCUCAUGAGCUCACUGCCUGUCCUGUAACGGCCAAGUGGUCUGUCCAUGUCUCUGCUUCACCAUGGUUUCCAGCUCUGCCUGCACUGCCUGGCCACCCCGCUGGGCCUACUCCGCCAUGGCUCCCCGCUAGGACUGCUCCGCCAUGGCUCCAUUUUCUGUCACUGCUUCAUGGCCCAGGUCCACCUCUGCUUCAUGGUCUGUCACUGCUUCAUGGCCCAGGUCCCCCUCUGCUUCCUGAUCUGUCACUGCUUCAUGGCCGAGGUCCCCCUCUGCUUCAUGGUCUGUCUCUGCUCCACGGCCCAGGUCCCCCUCUGUUCCAUGAUCUGUCACUGCUUCAUGGCCCAGGUCCACCUCUGCUCCAUGGUCUGUCACUGCUCCAUGGCCCAGGUCCCCCUCUGCUUCAAGGUCUGUCUCUGCUCCACAGCCCAGGUCCCCCUCUGCUUCAUGAUCUGUCACUGCUUCAUGGCCCAGGUCCCCCUCUGUUCCAUGAUCUGUCACUGCUUCAUGGCCCAGGUCCCCCUCUGUUCCAUGAUCUGUCACUGCUUCAUGGCCCAGGUCCCCCUCUGUUCCAUGGUCUGUCUCUGCUCCAUGGCCCAGGUCCCCCUCUGUUCCAUGAUCUGUCACUGCUUCAUGGCCCAGGUCCCCCUCUGUUCCAUGAUCUGUCACUGCUUCAUGGCCCAGGUCCCCCUCUGUUCCAUGGUCUGUCACUGCUUCAUGGCCCAGGUCCCCCUCUGUUCCAUGGUCUGUCAAUGCUUCAUGGCCCAGGUCCCCCUCUGCUUCAUGGUCUGUUCCUCCUCCACUCCACCACACUCCUGGACUUUUUGGGUUUAGUUUGUUUGAGCUUCAGGAGCCGCCCUUAGAGGGGGGGAAAUGUAAUGUCUGUUUUGGGUUUUGUUUCAUGUUCAUGUUUUCAUGUCUUUUAUUUUGUAGUUUGAUUUUGCUGUUUGUGUCAUGCUUCCCUUGCCCUCAUGUAUCUCUGCUUUGUGUAUGUGUCAUGUUCUCAUUGGUUAGUCUAGUCUGUUCAUGCCACGUCAAGUCUGUUCAAGUCAAGUCUUUGUUUAUUGUUUGGAUUUCACUGUAAAUAAACUGCACUUGGGUUCAUCACUACACUCGCCUUCAGUGGACUGUUUGUUACAGAUGUUUGGUCCAUUAAGUGUUCAUCUUGAAAUAUUAAUAACAAUAUAAAAAGUCUAUUUUAUAAAAACAGCAAAGAUUUCAUUACUAAAAGCCAUGUGAACUACGACCUGAAGGUGGACAUUUUUGCAAUGUUGUUACAAUGUACAAUCGUACUAAAAGGCCUUUUACUCACUAAAAAGUAGUAUAUUGAGUGCAACAGGUUUUUAGGCAAAGUUUUGGUUAUACUGAUUUAGAAGCCUUAGAAGAAUUUCUGUAUCAAAUAUGAGUAGUCUUUAAGCAGUAGGGUUUAAGCAGCAUUAAAGCACUGCAAGGUAAUCUGUUGGUUUGUCAGCAUUCCAUAACCUCACAGUGAUGGGAAAUAGAUGGAUUCGGUUUUACCAGUACUGCCACUUGAUCUACUAUGUUUGUGUUUCGAUUCAGUAAAAGUACAAGCUACUGCCACUCCUAAGGGCUGUUUUAUCACUUUUAUUUUCCCUUUCCCUUUUAUAAGAUGUAACUUCUUGCCACUGUACAUGGUCUUUGGUACAAACCCGAUUCCAAAAAAGUUGGGACACUGUACAAAUUGUGAAUAAAAACAGAAUGCAAUGAUGUGGAAGUUUCAAAUUUCAAUAUUUUAUUCAGAAUACAACACAGAUGACAUAUCAAAUGUUUAACCUGAGAAAAUGUAUCAUUUUAAGGGAAAAAUAAGUUGAUUUUUAAAUUUCAUGGCAUCAACACAUCUCAAAAAAGUUGUGACAAGGCCAUGUUUAUCACUGUGUGGCAUCCCCUCUUCUUUUAAUAAUGCUUCACCAUGGUUUCCAGCUCUGCCUGCACUGCCUGGCCACCCCGCUGGGCCUACUCCGCCAUGGCUCCCCGCUAGGACUGCUCCGCCAUGGCUCCAUUUUCUGUCACUGCUUCAUGGCCCAGGUCCACCUCAGCUCCAUGGUCUGUCACUGCUUCAUGGCCCAGGUCCCCCUCUGCUUCAUAGUCUGUCACUGCUUCAUGGCCCAGGUCCCCCUCUGCUUCCUGGUCUGUCACUGCUUCAUGGCCCAGGUCCCCCUCUGUUCCAUGAUCUGUCACUGCUUCAUGGCCCAGGUCCACCUCUGUUCCAUGAUCUGUCUCUGCUCCACAGCCCAGGUCCCCCUCUGCUUCAUGAUCUGUCACUGCUUCAUGGCCCAGGUCCACCUCUGCUCCAUGGUCUGUCUCUGCUCCACGGCCCAGGUCCCCCCCUCUGUUCCAUGGUCUGUCACUGCUUCAUGGCCCAGGUCCCCCUCUGUUCCAUGGUCUGUCACUGCUUCAUGGCCCAGGUCCCCCUCUGUUCCAUGAUCUGUCACUGCUUCAUGGCCGAGGUCCCCCUCUGCUUCAUGGUCUGUUCCUCCUCCACUCCACCACACUCCUGGACUUUUUGGGUUUAGUUUGUUUGGGCUUCAGGAGCCGCCCUUAGAGGGGGGGAAAUGUAAUGUCUGUUUUGUGUUUUGUUUCAUGUUCAUGUUUUCAUGUCUUUUAUUUUGUAGUUUGAUUUUGCUGUUUGUGUCAUUCUUCCCUUGCCCUCAUGUAUCUCUGCUUUGUGUAUGUGUCAUGUUCUCAUUGGUUAGUCUAGUCUGUUCAUGCCACGUCAAGUCUGUUCAAGUCAAGUCUUUGUUUAUUGUUUGGAUUUCACUGUAAAUAAACUGCACUUGGGUUCAUCACUACACUCGCCUUCAGUGGACUGUUUGUUACAGAUGUUUGGUCCAUUAAGUGUUCAUCUUGAAAUAUUAAUAACAAUAUAAAAAGUCUAUUUUAUAAAAACAGCAAAGAUUUCAUUACUAAAAGCCAUGUGAACUACAACCUGAAGGUGGACAUUUUUGCAAUGUUGUUACAAUGUACAAUCGUACUAAAAGGCCUUUUACUCACUAAAAAGUAGUAUAUUGAGUGCAACAGGUUUUUAGGCAAAGUUUUGGUUAUACUGAUUUAGAAGCCUUAGAAGAAUUUCUGUAUCAAAUAUGAGUAGUCUUUAAGCAGUAGGGUUUAAGCAGCAUUAAAGCACUGCAAGGUAAUCUGUUGGUUUGUCAGCAUUCCAUAACCUCACAGUGAUGGGAAAUAGAUGGAUUCGGUUUUACCAGUACUGCCACUUGAUCUACUAUGUUUGUGU
Long non-coding RNA from Cyprinus carpio carpio, 7129 nucleotides. NCBI's taxonomy places the organism in Eukaryota, Metazoa, Chordata, Actinopteri, Cypriniformes, Cyprinidae. The record is from Ensembl.